GCGUUGGUGGUAUAGUGGUGAGCAUAGCUGCCUUCCAAGCAGUUGACCCGGGUUCGAUUCCCCAGCCAAUGCA
Molecule: non-coding RNA, 73 nt
Organism: Silurus meridionalis
Lineage: Eukaryota; Metazoa; Chordata; Actinopteri; Siluriformes; Siluridae
Source: the annotation of a RefSeq genome assembly